Long non-coding RNA from Lolium perenne, 4730 nucleotides. RefSeq lists it as uncharacterized. Lineage: Eukaryota; Viridiplantae; Streptophyta; Magnoliopsida; Poales; Poaceae. The record is from RefSeq and is a predicted model, not a curated record.
AAAAACGGUUCGUCAAAACCAUCCCUUCAUUCCCACCCACGACCGCAGAACGCCCGACGUCCCUCUCCCUGUCUCCCAUCUGCACGCCGCCCCGCCCAACCCAACCUCCAGCUUUCCCACACCACUGCUCGAGCCCUAGGACGCUGCCACAAAGAAGAGGGACAGGAGAGGAUAGCUGAGGGUUUAAGCGAGGAGAGAACAGAGCGAAUCGAAGGACAGAGAUUCAGAGAGAGAGAGGCGGAGGUUUUUCUCCAUCUUCGUCGUCCCCCGAUCGAUCCAGGAGGGAACCGCAAGGCUUUCAGCAAUCGUCUACCAUGAGUGGAUGGCUUGUUCCCGCCCGGCGACCUGCCUGAGGAUCAGAUCGAUGGCCCGGGCCGCCAGAUCGAUGGGCGAAGGGGCGUGAUGAAGACACCAAAGGUAGCAACGACGGUGGCCGGAUCAAAGCACAGUGACGGAGGAGCUGAAGGACAGGCUGCUCCCAAGCCACCAUUAUCAGGGCUAUACAUAUGAAUGAAGCUGGCUCACAUGAGGUUGCAGUUCAGAGCCUAGAUUUCACGGACGAAGGGCACGGGCGCAAGAAGCUGACUACGCUCGUUGCGCAUCGGUGCGUGGAGAUGGAGGUAGGGUCCUCUUGGUGGUGAUGAUUGACGAGCACGGAGGAAGGGGGCGUGGUGGUGGAGGCAAGGGCGGUGGUUGCUGAUCGAAUGUGCCUGCCCGUUGCCGCCUGCUCUGAGUUGUACUGCGGCCGUGCUAUGCAAGCACCUCAGGUUUCAGUGGGGUGCUAGAGAAGGUUCCUUAUGUGAUGAACCAAUUAGGAGUGUGAAGUUCAAGAUCUUUAAUGAAUAAAUGCAAUCACUCCAGAACCAUACCGUGGUGGUGAUCAAAUAAUCCCAGAGCCCGCCGGGUUGUCUACUCAGCCUUGCCUGAUGGCUAAUCCCCGUCUUAUGGAGCCUGUUUAUUAUGUUGAGGUUAGUCAAGGACUCCUUGCUCUUGAAAAUAGACUUACCAUUGCUAAUGGCUGUAACGACGUGUACAUGAGAUAAAUCCUAACUCCAUUGCUAAGGAAGAUUCUUCUAAGUUGAUCAGGUUUCUACAGUCAUUUUAGUAUUACCUUUUGGAAGAACGGUAAAGCUAGAACUGUCUGCUAAUAUUUCCUUGCAGUGGUUACCUCUUAGUAUUUUGGCAAUCAGGUUGUGGAAUAGGUUCACCCUCAUAUUAAUGUAGGUUCCAGUUAAAGGAAUCAUGUGAAUCGUAGGUUUAUAUAUUCACAAAUGGACCUAUAUACUUUUGAUGUGAAUAACUAAAGGAAUAUAUUCCUUCUUUUAAUUAGUGAUAUUCAGUUUGGUGAGGUUUACCAAUAAAAUGAAAUGCCCAACAACUGUUCUUUUAUACUGCGUCUUGCAUUCUGAAACUUAUGUUUAGCGCCUAUGUAAGGAGAGUGCCAGCCACUGAGGCCAGUGAAUUAAGGGUGUGGGUCGAGUGGCACAAUGAGUUAGAUAAAUAUGCAUAGUUGCAAGAUUGGUCUGUAAAAAGGAGGAUAGUUUCUUGAAUGGAUUAAGGUUAGGGAGGUUUCCAUCAUGUACUACAGCAUUAUAAUGGUAGCCAACUUUGGGACACACAUAACAUAGUUGAAGCUAUGUCUAUGGGACUCAUAGAAGAGUUAGUUCCUACUCCUGAACUAGCUCAUGACUGGUCGUACUCUUAAACUAGCUCACGACUGCAUAAAAAAUUUCUCAUGUAAAUUCUUAGAAUUUUUGGAAAAAUCUAUUAACCAUUUGAUACCUUUUCUGCUACUUUUUUGACAUGUUUCUAUCUUUCAAUUUCUCGGAGAUGCUUUGAUAAACUGUGUAGGUGCUUUAUUACCUGUACAGUUGUGUAGUGAAUGGAUGUCGCUGUACUGCAAAGGCAUUUUGCACAUCCGUGCUUGUGAAGACAAUCUGAUGUCCUUCCAUAUAUUGUUCUGGAGGAUGCAGUCUUUUGAACAUCCAGCAUCCCUCGCCACUGAUUCCGCUCAAUUUGACAGCUUCUACUGAAAAUUAAUCACGACAACCAUGACCAUGAUGAUAUACCUCCAGGAAUUUUCAUUGACCUGGGCUUUAGUCUGUGAUGUGGAAAUACACUAUAUUGCUUUGCAACGUAGCAAGGUAAAUAUAAGCUGAUUUGUAUCAUCUUACAUACUUUUUCUUAUCUACUAUUCUAAUUUGGAGUCCACUGGAAGUACUGUAGUAUAUUUAGUUGAUGCAUAGGUCCACAUGUUGUUGUAGUGUAUGACUAUAUAGUUGCCAAAACAACUCAAAUUCUCCAUGUGUGUCGCACUUAUUCAAAUAUUCUCAAAUUACUAUUACUGAAGUGCCAUACUGUAGUAGAUCUCUCAUAUAGUCAUGUCAUAUUUACUGCAUGGUUGACCUUGUAUGUUAUGUUCAACAAUAGAUGGAGAAAGAUGAAUCUCUGUAGGUUGUUGCAGGCUAACUUUUUGAAACAUUGAUUAUUUGGCAUCAGUUGUUGAUGUAUUGUCUGAAAUUUGGUUAUCCUGGAUCCAAACAAAACUACACCUGGUUCCAGUAGGUCAGGUUUCUUUGCAUUUUCUGUGCGUUCCAUUCAGAUGCGUCUUUUUUAGCUAUCAUUUCUGCUUGGGUCACCCUUAUUUGCUUUGGAAGAUACAACAAAGAAACAACUUUUGUUGAGUUUCCGUUGAUAUAAUCCAGGAGAUCCGAAGACACAAGCUGGUGUCUUGAUGAAAUAGCAAAGAUUCACUUGUUUUCUAUUGAAACUUUUAGGCACUAACCAAUUAGAUAUGUCAGCCGUGGGUAUUUAAAUCACAACAUUGAAAAUAUACUUAUUUGCACAUCGCAAAAGCCUCCUUUUCAGCUUAUUUUUUCUAUGCACUGACUGUUGUGUUUAUACUUGGUCUACCUAUUGCAACCAUUUGUCAUAUUGGAAACACCAGUGCUCGAUGCUGGUCAAUAUCGAAAACACUGAUAAUUGUUUGGCCAAAGAUAUAACGGAGUUGGGAGGUCUCAAGGAGACAUCAAAGUUAUUUAGGGAGUUCUACCAUCUUAACUUGAUAUCUGCACAAUUUUUGUAAACAAAAUUGUUCCUAUAACAUGAAAAUUGGCAUGAACUAUCUACAGCUUUUAGAUAUAUGAUGUAUUUGAAAAAGCUUAGUACAUAAGAAAACAACGUAAUGCUAGCCUUGCCUCAUUGUGGGGUGUAACUCUGGAUUUGUGAUUUUAAGGCUUACAAUUGAAAUUUAUUGAUGAUCAUAAUAAUAGUGGUGUGAUAUUUUAUUGUACUGUGCAUCAAAGUUUCGAAAAAUAAUCAGCUAACAGGAAUAGCAGAGCUCCAACGAGUUCUGAGAUGCCAUUACAUUCUUUUAUUUUGUCUUCUGUUUUACAUUAUGCUUUGAUUUUUUUAGAUCUUUGACAUUAUAUAAUUUUUAAUUGGCUAAUGCAAUAGUUUUCUUUUCUCGAUAAAGGAAAUAUAUUAAUAAUGCAACAAUUUUCAUAUUAUAGUUGUGCUCGUUGCUGAACAUAUGCAUUGAAUAAACUUUGGUAUGUACAUUAAUUAAAUGCAGGUAUGUCGCAGUGCCUGAUGAGGGUUGUAAUUUCAACAAAGCCUACUUGUUCCAGUGGUAUGUUAUUCUGUAUUCAUCUUAUGACAUGGACUGCUCAUAUCCGAUCCCUCGCCGUGUGGUGCUCUUUUUCAGCCUUAAGGGGAUGCUACACGAUUGCCUUUUAAACUCAUCUGUCCAUGUAUUGGCAUCUUUGUUCUUUAGAUCGAUUUUUGGUCUGCAGAAUACUUCACUGAGUUUUGUGGUAUGUCUUGUUGAUCUAAUUCACUAAGCACGCAGAUAAUCCAUGGGCUAAUAAAUAAGGAUGAAGAGGUUCCAAACAAACAACUCGAUAUUACAGUGAUAAACAAUCUAAGAAGGUUCCUGUGAAGGUAGUUAAAUGAUAUGAACUAAAGCUCUGCCUUUUUAUUGAAAGUCCAAUCUGCAUUAUGUAGUAAAUGUCAGCGCUUAUUAUGUUAUAUUCAGACUUUUGCAGUGCUCUUUGCCAGUGAUGAUUUUGUGAGCUAGAGAAAUGUUUAAUUCCUUGGGCACUUAUUAUGUAUUUCCUAUUAUUAAAAAAUACAUUGUGCUCUAAUUUCUAGAUCCAGUAUGAAAGUGAUUUCACAACAGAUUUGUGUAUUUUAUGCAUUAAGUUUGUUAUGGUACGAUGUUCAGCUAUUCCUAAUAGAUUCAAGAGUACAAGAAGCAUCAAGGGUCGCGAGAUUAAAGAAGGUAUCACUGAAAUUUCGAAGAUCAGAGGAUUAGGGUGUGAGUGAUGUGAUGCUAUGCAGGGAAAUAUUUAUCUUUUCAUAUUUCCUUGGCUCUAUGGUUCGUAUGUGGUACUGCACCACCAUGGUUCUUCUAUGAGACUAACAGGCGUGAAGUCUCUAGAUGCAUGCUAGAGGAGAUACACAGAACACUUGGAGGGUUAGGAAGAGGAGAAGAUGUUGUUAUAUAAUGUGGAGUAUAUUGUUUAGUUGUAUAAUGUGAAGUAUUUUCUUUAGUUGUAUAAUGUGGAGUAUUUGGAAACUAUAAAUAUACUAGCAUAUAUUAUGACUGUGUGGGGUAUGCAAACCCUAAAAAAAUCAAAUCGCCUUUCUCCACGUCUUGCUUUCCCGUGGCAAGCGCACGGGCAUCUUAACUAGUUAAGAUAAAAACGAGAAGUAGAGGAGGGAGUGCA